RNAcentral lists this long non-coding RNA (647 nucleotides) under Ananas comosus (pineapple). Its description in RNAcentral is "long non-coding RNA (ACOM_LNC034214)". The record is from RNAcentral. Lineage: Eukaryota; Viridiplantae; Streptophyta; Magnoliopsida; Poales; Bromeliaceae.
UUUUCCGAGAUGAGCUUAGCCUCCUAUUACGCCAUCUUUUAAUUUUAACAAUUAAAUCUUCUAAAUUUCAUCAAAUUUUAACAAUUAAAUCUUCUAAUUAAUCUGUUAAAAAAUAGCAUUCUUACCCAUCUAUAAAAGAAUCCAAAAAGGAAUAAAGGAAUAUUCCCUAUAUUUUUUACGACCAGGUAUGAUCACUUAAUUAAAAAAAUCUCAAAUAAGAAUGAACGAUUAUGAUUAAUUUGUUAAAAAUAGCAUUCUUAUCCAUCUAUAAAUCCAAUCUUACGAACGGUUGUGUCAAUUAAAAAUGAACGGUUCACUUAAUUAAAAUAAUUUCAAAUAAGAACGAACAGUUAUGAUCAAUCUGUUUAAAAAUAGCAUUCUUAUCCAUCUAUAAAUCCAAUCCUACGAACGGUUGUGUCAAUUAAAAAUGAACGGUUCACUUAAUUAAAAUAAUUUCAAAUAAGAACGAACGGUUAUGAUUAAUCUGUUAAAAAAUAGUAUUCUUAUCCAAAAAUUUUAAUUAUAGUGGAUAAAAAUUAAAUUUUAAAUUUUGAAUUAAAUAUGAAUUUAAUUUUGAUGCUUUUUGUUUAAAACACAUAUUUAAAUUUUAAAUUAUCAGAAAUAAAAAAAAUAUAUAAAUAUUUAAU